AUUGAACGCUGGCGGUAGGCCUAACACAUGCAAGUCGAACGGCAGCACAGUAAGAGCUUCCUCUUACGUGUGGCGAGUGGCGGACGUGUGAGGAAUACAUCGGAAUCUACUUUUUCGUGGGGGAUAACGUAGGGAAACUUACUCUAAUACCGCAUACUACCUACGGGUAAAAGCAGGGGAUCUUCGGACCUUGCCCGCUGGAAUGCGCCGAUGUCGGAUUAGCUAGUUGGCGGGGUAAAGGCCCACCAAGGCGACGAUCCGUAGCUGGUCUGAGAGGAUGAGCAGCCACACUGGAACUGAGACACGGUCCAGACUCCUACGGGAGGCAGCAGUGGGGAAUAUUGGACAAUGGGCGCAAGCCUGAUCCAGCCAUACCGCGUGGGUGAAGAAGGCCUUCGGGUUGUAAAGCCCUUUUGGUGGGAAAGAAAAGCAGAAGGUUAAUACCUCGAUGUAUUGACGGUACCCAAAGAAUAAGCACCGGCUAACUUCGUG
RNAcentral lists this ribosomal RNA (492 nucleotides) under uncultured bacterium. Its description in RNAcentral is "partial 16S ribosomal RNA". It matches the Rfam family "Bacterial small subunit ribosomal RNA", at positions 30 to 507 of the family's 1533-position model. The record is from RNAcentral.